Molecule: ribosomal RNA, 253 nt
Filed under: uncultured bacterium
Lineage: Bacteria
Description: partial 16S ribosomal RNA
Rfam family: Bacterial small subunit ribosomal RNA
Source: RNAcentral
UACGUAGGGUGCGAGCGUUGUCCGGAAUUACUGGGCGUAAAGAGCUCGUAGGUGGUUUGUCGCGUUGUUCGUGAAAACUCACAGCUUAACUGUGGGCGUGCGGGCGAUACGGGCAGACUGGAGUACUGCAGGGGAGACUGGAAUUCCUGGUGUAGCGGUGGAAUGCGCAGAUAUCAGGAGGAACACCGGUGGCGAAGGCGGGUCUCUGGACAGUUCCUGACGCUGAGGCACGAAGGUCAGGGGAGCGAACGGG